This is a long non-coding RNA of Strongylocentrotus purpuratus (purple sea urchin), 1032 nucleotides long. RefSeq lists it as uncharacterized. Lineage: Eukaryota; Metazoa; Echinodermata; Echinoidea; Camarodonta; Strongylocentrotidae. The transcript is spliced from 2 exons. The record is from RefSeq and is a predicted model, not a curated record.
UAUAUAGCAUGCAAGUCGCAUUGUAUUCACACAUGCCCCACAACCAGCCUACCGAUAUUAUCAAGUCAUGAAAGGUCGACAGAAUCUUUCUAAUUUCGAGCUGCACAGAACUGGUACUUUCUAAGAGUCAAUUUCAACUACUAUUUCAGUUGAUGAUUAAUGUUAAGCUAUACGUGAUGAUAGUUAUUUUGGUGUGAGAAAGGGAGAAAACGACAGUUUUAGGACUUGGGAGUUGAAUGUUGACUCGCGGAUUCCGUAAGGUGAGAAGCGUACGAUCGCCUGAGGAUCAAGCCGCAGCGCAGGGGCAAGGCUGAACGAUUUACUGCUCUGUUGAAGAGCACUGCCACUGGCUGUGCACAUCACCUUUGACUGUUUUGUGUGCGAAACAUCUUUAAUCUUAUUUUGUAUCAUCUUUAAUUUGUUCAUCUACAGAAACACCUUAUGACAGUGGGUCGUUGUUCUAAACCAAAUCAUCUGCCUGGUCUUCAAACCACGUUUUUGAGCUGAAAAUGGAGCCAAAAUUGAUUUCCAGACUGCACGAUGACUUGAUGUAUGGCUUCCAAUUCCAAGCAUUUGUUGGAUGUGUGGCAUUUUUGUUCUCUGUCUGUGAAUAGAACUGGAUUGGGGAUUGUUCAGAGCGAAAAGUGAAGGACUGGGACACAAAAAUCAAUAACUAGGAAGUAACUUAUCACCUUAUUUGGAAGAAUAUAGAUGUCAUCAUGUUAUCGAAGAGAGUCUGCAGGUUACUCAUCUGUGUUGUUUUACUGGGAACACUGGCAAAGCAAAGCAGGGCAUGUCCAUCGAACUGCAACUGUGAUGUGAGGGAGAAGGGCCGUGGAAAGUGGGGAGGGGAAAGAGGAGGUAGCAAGGCCAGACGCGUGUUGGAGUGUACUGGUCGCAGUCUUACAAGACCUAUACCAGUUAAUGCAAUCCCAGAAGAUACAGUGUUAUUGGAUUUGAGCAGCAACAACAUGAAGACUAUUCGUGGAGGUGCUUUUACUGGACUGAGUUCUGUUCAAAUACUGUAAGUUA